RNAcentral lists this ribosomal RNA (253 nucleotides) under uncultured bacterium. RNAcentral describes it as "partial 16S ribosomal RNA". It matches the Rfam family "Bacterial small subunit ribosomal RNA", at positions 524 to 776 of the family's 1533-position model. The record is from RNAcentral.
UACGUAGGAUGCAAGCGUUGUCCGGAUUUAUUGGGCGUAAAGAGCUCGUAGGCGGCUUGUUGCGUCGACUGUGAAAACCCGCGGCUUAACCGCGGGCUUGCAGUUGAUACGGGCAGGCUAGAGUUCGGUAGGGGAGACUGGAAUUCCUGGUGUAGCGGUGAAAUGCGCAGAUAUCAGGAGGAACACCGGUGGCGAAGGCGGGUCUCUGGGCCGAUACUGACGCUGAGGAGCGAAAGCGUGGGGAGCGAACAGG